Molecule: ribosomal RNA, 349 nt
Filed under: uncultured eukaryote
Lineage: Eukaryota
Description: SSU rRNA
Rfam family: Eukaryotic small subunit ribosomal RNA
Source: RNAcentral
AUAGCGUAUAUUAAAGUUGUUGCGGUUAAAAAGCUCGUAGUUGGAUCUCAGAUCGUGCCAGGUGGUCCACUUGCCAGUGGCUACUGCCUGGCCGAUCAAUUUAAUGAGCCGUCCUAUGGUGCUCUUCACCGAGUGUCAUAGGCGAUCAUUACGUUUACUUUGAAAAAAUUAGAGUGCUCAAAGCAGGCCUUAGUGCCCGAAUAAUGUUGCAUGGAAUAAUGGAAUAGGACCUCGGUUCUAUUUUGUUGGUUUUCGGAAUUCUGAGGUAAUGAUUAAUAGGGACGGACGGGGGCAUUCGUAUUGCGGCGCUAGAGGUGAAAUUCUUGGACCGUCGCAAGACGAACUAGUG